GCCAGCUUACAUUCUCAAAUUCUCCUCCCGCCUGCUAGUGAGUAUGACAACCCUGUCACCCCUUUGAUGUGUGUGUAGAGCAGGGAUGGUGCUGAUAGAGAGGAGAUCAGUUCAAACCAUCCAGGCACUUCCACUGUUAUUAAUAGUCUCCAAGCUGACAUUCAGCCAAACAAAGGGCACAUGGAGAAUAGACUGCUGAUGGAGUGGAUACAGAGACAAGCUGGUGUCAGUGCCUUUGCGUUUGAACAAGGGUCACCCAGGCACCUACACAGAUGCGAGCACUGUCUACAACAAGGAGAAAACAUCCACAAUUCUGGCCUUGUCAUCCAGAGAGUUUGACCUCUUUAACGGAGAAAUGAACUGACUUUUGAUUUCAGUUGCUGAAUUAUGGACAGGAAGUUGGCUAAUGGUCCAUCCCACUCAUGGUCAUGGCCCUAGAGAGAAUGUCUGAGUUAUCGGUCCACCCAGAGUCUUGUUUAGUCAUUUGUGGCUGCAUUCAAAUAAGAUUAAGCCCAGUGCAGACUGCACAAUGUUGGCUACAAUUUUGCCAUCUAAAACAAUUUAAUCAAAAUUACACUGGAAGAAUGAGCAGUCAAUAACUCCAUCUUUGUAUUUGUCUGUUUUAUCUAUGUGUCGUUGAUUGAUGACGACUAACUGCAGCCGGUGCCAGCCAGACAACUCUUCAGUCUACUACUAUGGAUUUCAGAGGAUGAACUGAAGCCACCUCCAACCAUGGGACAUGAGGUACUUCAUGUGCCACUGCCUGAACCUUGGACUUAGGAUGGACCUCAUUGAACCUCACCGAAAUUACAUGACAGUUGAACUGCUAUACACCUCACUAAUCUCUGCCUGAAUCACCAUAGUCUAAUGACGGACUACACUCUUAAAAUGGAAUACAUAGACUAUCAAUUAGUUGCCAACAAAAGGCUACAUCAGCCAAAUAACAAAGGACAAUGCAUCCAUGUGAAUUUCUACAGUUAAUCCAGGAUGGAUUUCAAAGACAUUAUCAUUAAUCUUACAAUUUGUACAAAAUCUUGUUGUUUAAACACUGGCCCUUAACACUUAUUUAGUUUACUAAUUUUAAACCAUGACUUACACUACACACAAAAACUAACACUGGCAUUAUAUUCAUGCUGUUUAGCCAGAGGGGAACUGGCACCCACAGUGAGUCUGGUUUCUCCCAAGAUUAUUUUUCUCCAUUUACCAACAUAUUAUGGAGUUUUGUGUUCUUUGCCACAGUCACCUUCAGCUUGCUCACUGGGGUUCUAAAUACAAUUAUUAUUUGCUUAUUUACUUAGUUAUUUAUUUUUAUGCACAAUUUACAAUCAUAUUUUUAUCAAUCUGCACCAUGAUGACUUUAAUACUUUAUAGAUAUUACAGUUUAAUUUUCUGUAAAGCUGCUUUGAAACGUUGGUGUUGUGAAAAGCGCUAUACAAAUAAAAAUUACUUGACAUCUUGA
This is a long non-coding RNA of Myxocyprinus asiaticus (Chinese sucker), 1459 nucleotides long. RefSeq lists it as uncharacterized. The transcript has 2 exons. Lineage: Eukaryota; Metazoa; Chordata; Actinopteri; Cypriniformes; Catostomidae. The record is from RefSeq and is a predicted model, not a curated record.